AAUUCUGACAUGGAUUCUACUGCAGCAUUGUUGAACCUCUGAUACUGCUGGUUUCUAAGAGAAGAAUUUUAAGUUUAUGUUGAGGUAGGACAGGCAUGGAGGUCUAAAGACACAUGGUGAAAUACAAAGUGCUUCUGAAAUCUGCUGGUGAAUGAAGGGUGGUGUGAACCACAGCCUGCAAGCU
This 184-nucleotide long non-coding RNA is filed under the name Zonotrichia albicollis (white-throated sparrow). Its description in RNAcentral is "lncRNA (ENSZALG00000017503.1)". Lineage: Eukaryota; Metazoa; Chordata; Aves; Passeriformes; Passerellidae. The record is from RNAcentral.